CCUACGGGAGGCAGCAGUGAGGAAUAUUGGUCAAUGGGCGCGAGCCUGAACCAGCCAAGUCGCGUGAGGGAAGACGGUCCUAUGGAUUGUAAACCUCUUUUAUCGGGGAGCAAAACACGCCACGCGUGGCUUUCCGCAAGUACCCUAAGAAAAAGCAUCGGCUAACUCCGUGCCAGCAGCCGCGGUAAUACGGAGGAUGCGAGCGUUAUCCGGAUUUAUUGGGUUUAAAGGGUGCGCAGGCGGAAGAUCAAGUCAGCGGGAAAAUUGAGAGGCUCAACCUCUUCGAGCCGUUGAAACUGGUUGUCUUGAGUGAGUGAGAAGUAGGCGGAAUGCGUGGUGUAGCGGUGAAAUGCAUAGAUAUCACGCAGAACUCCGAUUGCGAAGGCAGCAUACCGGAGCGCAACUGACGCUCAUGCACGAAAGUGUGGGUAUCGAACAGGAUUAGAUACCCGGGUAGUC
Molecule: ribosomal RNA, 459 nt
Filed under: uncultured bacterium
Lineage: Bacteria
Description: partial 16S ribosomal RNA
Rfam family: Bacterial small subunit ribosomal RNA
Source: RNAcentral